UACGGAAGGUGCGAGCGUUAAUCGGAAUUACUGGGCGUAAAGCGCGCGUAGGUGGUUUGUUAAGUCAGAUGUGAAAGCCCCGGGCUCAACCUGGGAACUGCAUUUGAUACUGGCAGACUAGAGUUUGGUAGAGGGUAGUGGAAUUCCAGGUGUAGCGGUGAAAUGCGUAGAUAUCUGGAGGAACAUCAGUGGCGAAGGCGGCUACCUGGACCAAAACUGACGCUGAGGUGCGAAAGCGUGGGGAGCAAACAGG
This 253-nucleotide ribosomal RNA is filed under the name uncultured bacterium. Its description in RNAcentral is "partial 16S ribosomal RNA". It matches the Rfam family "Bacterial small subunit ribosomal RNA", at positions 524 to 776 of the family's 1533-position model. The record is from RNAcentral.